AACGCAUAUUGCGCCCCUUGGUAUUCCUUGGGGCACACCUGUUCGAGCGUCAUUUCACCAAUCAAGCCUCGCUUGGUGUUGGGCGAUGCGCACGUCGCACGCCUCAAAUGCCCCGGCCGAGCAGUCUCUCACCCGGCGUCGUGGAAACAUACCGCUACGGAGACGAGACCUGCCCGUGCCGCAGAAUAACCUAUUAACAAAGGUUGACCUCGGAUCAGGUGGGGAUACCCGCUGAACUUAA
Molecule: unclassified non-coding RNA, 241 nt
Filed under: uncultured Capnodiaceae
Lineage: Eukaryota; Fungi; Ascomycota; Dothideomycetes; Capnodiales; Capnodiaceae
Description: sequence contains ITS2
Source: RNAcentral